AUAUACACCCGCUAUCCGCCAGGGAACUACGAGCAUUAGCUUAAAACCCAAAGGACUUGGCGGUGCUUUAGACCCACCUAGAGGAGCCUGUUCUAGAACCGAUAACCCCCGUUAAACCUCACCCUCCCUUGCUCUUCCCGCCUAUAUACCGCCGUCGUCAGCUUACCCUGUGAAGGACCUAUAGUAAGCAAAACCAGUAAGACCCAAAACGCCAGGUCGAGGUGUAGCAUAUGAGAGGGGAAGAAAUGGGCUACAUUCCCUGUACACAGGGAACACGAACGACGUAAUGAAACGUACAUCAGAAGGAGGAUUUAGCAGUAAGCAAGAAAAUAGAGAG
This 337-nucleotide ribosomal RNA is filed under the name Cichla temensis (speckled pavon). RNAcentral describes it as "partial 12S ribosomal RNA". It matches the Rfam family "Bacterial small subunit ribosomal RNA", at positions 853 to 1356 of the family's 1533-position model. Lineage: Eukaryota; Metazoa; Chordata; Actinopteri; Cichliformes; Cichlidae. The record is from RNAcentral.